Molecule: ribosomal RNA, 253 nt
Filed under: uncultured bacterium
Lineage: Bacteria
Description: partial 16S ribosomal RNA
Rfam family: Bacterial small subunit ribosomal RNA
Source: RNAcentral
UACGUAGGGACCAAGCGUUGUUCGGAUUUACUGGGCGUAAAGGGCGCGUAGGCGGCAUGACAAGUCACUUGUGAAAUCUCUGGGCUUAACUCAGAACGGCCAAGUGAUACUGUCGCGCUAGAGUGCAGAAAGGGCAAUCGGAAUUCUUGGUGUAGCGGUGAAAUGCGUAGAUAUCAAGAGGAACACCUGAGGCGAAGGCGGGUUGCUAGGCUGACACUGACGCUGAUGCGCGAAAGCCAGGGGAGCAAACGGG